RNAcentral lists this long non-coding RNA (1667 nucleotides) under Marmota monax (woodchuck). The record is from RNAcentral. Lineage: Eukaryota; Metazoa; Chordata; Mammalia; Rodentia; Sciuridae.
GCUGGUUUGCUGGAAUUUGGGUUGUUUUCUGAGUAUCUUUGCAAGCAAUGUGAGAUUCCUUGAUGAUCUGAAUAAUUCUGAAAAGAACUUAAAAUUGGAAAAUGUAAAGAAACUUGCUAAGUCUGAGAAAAUCAUACAGAGCUUAUAAUUCAAAUCAGUUAUUUAUUGGUUCUCAUUUCUUUCUUUUCAUUGGCAAAUGUGCAUCUACACUAAAGGAGCUGUGGUGCUGGAGAAAACCACUUAGCUAAACACAAUGGAAAAGCAGAUGCAGGUGGAAAUAGAACCAGAAAAUACCAGAGAUAUCCCAAUUUACUGAAAAAUAGCAAAGGAUUGCAGGAUAUUCACACUUCUUGGUAGGUUACUAUAAGGAAUUGAAUCUGUUGGUUAGUAGCAUGAAGAAUUACAUUGUGGAGAUAUAGAAAAGGGAAUCUUCUUUUAACAACGUUCUUAUUAACAUGUAAAAACAAGAUCUAUGCAGGAAGUGUUAGCAUAAGUGCUUAGCUAAAGAGGAACAGGAAUGGGACAGGAAGUUAAUGAGAGAAGGGGGCCACUGUAAAAAGGCCCCUGAGCAGCAGUUGACCCAGAGGACUAGAUUCCCAUCAUGAAAUGCCAUUAGGACAUAAGCUCCCCCACCCCUAUGUGGAUGAGGCUGUGGAAGAAACCCAUCUUAGGAAGUUGCCCAAACUUCACAGAACCACCAGUGUUUCCCACAUUCCAGAAAGAGACCCAGGACUCUCUCCUGUAGAUUUUCAGGCACGCAUAUGUUCCCAAAGUGGUACCUAUAUUCACAUGAUGCUCUGAGGUCAGAUGACUGUAAAAGGACCUUUCACUGGUGGUGCUAGACCAGAAAGGGCAAUUUUCACCCAGUGUGCGCAAAAGACUUCCCCCAAACAGGCAACAGCUAUGCUAGUGGCCAGCUGCCACUACAAGGUUUCACACCAUGAAAAAUUCCAACUCCGCAUCCUGAAAAAAAAGCCAAAAACCUAAUCAUUUCAUUCAUUUUGGUCCCCCGUGGAUCUGGGCACCCCGUCUCUGGGGUAUAUCUCCCUUUCUUUUGCCUUUCCCUUGCCUUGCAAUAAAUCUGUUCUGAUUUCCAUCCCUGCCUUACUGUACCUCUGUUUCUGUACCAGGUUGUUUACCCCAGUCUUAGGCAGUAUACCCAAGACAGAGGAUCAUUCCACAGUUGACUGUAAACUUCUUCUAGAACAUCCCACUGGUACUUGGAACUUGUUUUCAAAAGACUGUGAUAUAAAAUUUAAGUGUUUGGUCAUAUGGAAAGCAAAAUUCUAAGAUGGUAUCCUAAUUCCUGCCCCUGGAAGUUCAGGUCAUGUGUGGAAUUCUUCUGCAUGGGGUGUGGGUGGGACCUUUGACCUACAUCUAGAUGACAAACUAUGGCAAAGUCAAAAAGGAUUUUUCAGAUGUAAUCAAGGUCUCAAAUCAGUUGAUUUUGAGGUAAUAAAAAGAUGCGAUUCAAUGGGUGGGCCCAGGUCUCUUCUGGGCUCAAAAUUAGCAGCCACUUUGAGGCUAUAUUUUCAGUAUAUUUUGAUGAUAGAACCAGUAGGACUUGCUAUAAUGGUUUUGUUAUAAGAGUAUAAAAAAUGAAUAUGGACAAUGCCUGCAUUUCUUAACUUUACUGAAUUUUAGAUGACCCUAUUAUUUACUAACAU